GAUGAACGCUGGCGGCGUGCCUAAUACAUGCAAGUCGAGCGAACGGACGAGAAGCUUGCUUCUCUGAUGAUAGCGGCGGACGGGUGAGUAACACGUGGAUAACCUACCUAUAAGACUGGGAUAACUUCGGGAAACCGGAGCUAAUACCGGAUGAUAUUUUGAACCGCAUGGUUCAAAAGUGAAAGACGGUCUUGCUGUCACUUAUAGAUGGAUCCGCGCUGCAUUAGCCAGUUGGUAAGGUAACGGCUUACCAAGGCAACGAUGCAUAGCCGACCUGAGAGGGUGAUCGGCCACACUGGAACUGAGACACGGUCCAGACUCCUACGGGAGGCAGCAGUAGGGAAUCUUCCGCAAUGGGCGAAAGCCUGACGGAGCAACGCCGCGUGAGUGAUGAAGGUCUUCGGAUCGUAAAACUCUGUUAUUAGGGAAGAACAUAUGUGUAAGUAACUGUGCACAUCUUGACGGUACCUAAUCAGAAAGCCACGGCUAACUACGUG
Molecule: ribosomal RNA, 497 nt
Filed under: uncultured bacterium
Lineage: Bacteria
Description: partial 16S ribosomal RNA
Rfam family: Bacterial small subunit ribosomal RNA
Source: RNAcentral